CGGACGGGCGAGUAACGCGAGAGAAUCGGCCCUCAUGAGGGGGAUGACGGCUGGAAACUGCUGCUAAUACCCCAUAUGCCGAGAGAUGAAAUGAGUUUCGCCUGAGAAUGAGCUCGCGUCUGACUAGCUAGUUGGUGGGGUAAAGGCCUACCAAGGCGUCGAUCAGUAGCUGGUCUGAGAGAAUGAUCAGCCACACUGCGACUGAGACACGGCCCAGACUCCUACGGGAGGCAGCAGUGGGGAAUUUUCCGCAAUGCGCGAAAGCCUGACGAAGCAACGCCGCGUAAGGGAUGAAGGCCUCUGAGCUGUAAACCUCUUUUAUCAAGGAAGAAGAUCUGACGGUACUUGAUGAAUAACCCACGGCUAAUUCCGUGCCAGCAGCCGCGGUAAUUCGGGAGUGGCAAGCGUUAUCCGGAAUUAUUGGGCGUAAAGCGUCCGCAGGCGGCCUUGUAAGUCUGUCGUCAAAGCGUGGAGCUUAACUCCAUUUAAGCGAUGGAAACUGCAAGACUAGAGUGUGGUAGGGGCAAAGGGAAUUCCCGGUGUAGCGGUGAAAUGCGUAGAUAUCGGGAAGAACACCAGUGGCGAAGGCGCUCUGCUGGGCCAUAACUGACGCUCAUGGACGAAAGCCAGGGGAGCGAAAGGGAUUAGAUACCCCUGUAGUC
This 662-nucleotide ribosomal RNA is filed under the name uncultured cyanobacterium. RNAcentral describes it as "bacterial SSU rRNA". It matches the Rfam family "Bacterial small subunit ribosomal RNA", at positions 99 to 795 of the family's 1533-position model. The record is from RNAcentral. Lineage: Bacteria; Bacillati; Cyanobacteriota.